Long non-coding RNA from Syzygium oleosum, 3984 nucleotides. RefSeq lists it as uncharacterized. The transcript has 3 exons. The record is from RefSeq and is a predicted model, not a curated record. NCBI's taxonomy places the organism in Eukaryota, Viridiplantae, Streptophyta, Magnoliopsida, Myrtales, Myrtaceae.
CAUCUCCUGCACAAAUUAUCAGCACAGAAGAGCUUAUUUUAGUUUAUGAUCUCAUUGAACCAUUUAUAAGGGCUGACAUAUGUUGUGGAUGAAUAAUCUCAUUUUAUGCCGAAUUUCUAGCAUUCACAUUAUGUCUGAUAGCAUGUUGGUGUUUUGUCAUGAGUUUUUUCCAGCUCAAGGAAUAAUGAGGCCUUGGUACCAUGUGGUGCUCCGUGGAUCUUCCAUCCGACAGAAGCAGAUAAUGUGAAAGUGGCUGGAGGCAGUUGCGCUAGUUGUUAAUAAAGACAAAAGAGAGCAUGGAGAAUUGGUUGCCGCCAUGUGUUGGCCGACUAGUGGCUACAUUUUGUUGAUGCCACCAGCAGAUAUAUAAGGUUUCGGAGGAGGAUAAGCUUGUGCUCUAUUACCAAGUAAGUUUUCUGCUAGUAUAUGUGGUGAUAAGCUAUGGCUUCAAUUUUUUGGACUGCAUUUUUUGUUUUUGUCUGUCAAUGUCUGGGCUGAGCUGGGGCCCACAUCCAGGUUCACAAGAUUUAUAGGAAACACCUAUUUCAAGGAUACUAACUACUUUCUGAGAAUAUGAAUAGGAAGAGUUUAGCUAGUAAAGAGCCUUAAUGGCAUUGCUCUCGAAUGUCAUAGUUUUGGACUGUGAUUUGAAAAUCGCCUUCGUUUUUAGGGGUUAUAAAAGAUGUUCGGCUAAUGAUACCGUUAUUGAUUAGCUAGUCGAAAGGGGAAAAGAAAAUGGAAAGGGAAAAGAAGUGUAUUGUACCACAAGCAAGACUGGAGCUAUGAAUGAGCACAUCUUUGGAGUUUUGGAGGUGAAUGCCGUCUGUGUUGGGGCUGUCGCCUGGAGAUGAGAUGCUCAUGUCAUGAACCAAAACUCCCAUGCAAUUGUCAAAUUUGAGGUGGCACUGGGGGCUGUUUUGAAUUGUAAUGCCCGUGACCGUCACAUUGAAACUCCCAUAAAACCUCAGAGCCUGUGCAAAAAACAUAAUUAACAUUUCUAAUGAUACAGGAAUGCUGGGACUUGGGAAGUUGAGCAUUUGUGAAACUGGGCCUUACAGUGGGCUUGAUGCUUGGCAUUUUUGCACUGAGCUCAUUUCUCACCUGUCACAAUAUAUAUCAGAAGCCUAAUCAGUUAUAGCAACUAAUUACUGGAACAGUGAACACAAAUUCACAGGAUGAAAUCGAGCAUACUACUUUAAUGAUGGUAAACUCUUAUCAUACAUAAGGUGAAGUUCAAGAAAGUUACCGGCAUUGGUGGAUUUCUUUCCACGGAGCUGUUUAACGGAAUCAGGAACCGUGUUUCGUCGUCGAUGGGAUCAUCAAAUGGGUAGUCCUCCCACCAAACGGAGCCUCGGCCAUCAAUAGUUCCUUGCCCUUGGAUUGUGAUCCCUCUUAGCUUUGUGAACUCGAGCCAUUGUAGCAGACCUUUUCCCCAUGCUUCGUUCUCUGUUGGAGCAACUAUGGUUCCAUCCAGCUGAAAAUUAAUUCGAACUCUUUUAGCCUCCCAGAAACGGUGUUUUCUCGAGCACACUGUCUCACAGAAUUUAUUUUUUACCUGGAAUAAAAUGUUUGCCUGGCAAUAUGGACCCGAAAACGAGAUGGGUCCCACGAGGAAUGCGUAUUCUGCUGGGACGAUCAUCAUCGAUGCCUCCACUUUGCAUGCAGCGGCCCAUGCAUCUUCAAAUGCCUGCAAUUCAUUACAGCAGAAAUAGCAGAACACUUUUCUUAGGAUUCAGCCAAAACGAAAAAGGAAAAUAACAACUCGCUUUCCGUUUUUCUUAUUGUCAGACAAAACAUUUUUCUUAGGACCAAACGCUAAAACUUUGGUCAUCGUUAUACAGUUGGUGUUGGUUUGUAGGAAAACAGUAGACAAUAAUUGUUGGAAUCAUGUGGUCCCAACAGCCACAGCAAGAAACCUUUUAGGGUGGGUCCCAUAGCCCACACCCUGGUAGUUCAGUUGUCCUUUCCUGUGCAAUUUAUUGUUUGUUACAUGGUAGGUAAUCUUUUUAUAUUCUCGAAAUUAAGUUGGAAAAUUCGAUAUGUUGGUAGGACAAGAGGGUCACGCACGUCUAGUUUUAGCAUCUUUUGCCAAUUCCUUCCUAAUGAUUUUGAACUUGCUAGUAAGAGAGAAAGUUAAGAUGACCAAUAACUUAAGCUUCAACCCAUUUACUAUUGUGACUAGUGUUAAGAGGUACUAAAAAAACUUGACUUAAUAAUCCGGAGUCAUGGAAAUGCAUGAUUGAAAUUGAAAAUUAGGACACGAGAAAGAUUGAUUGGCGCUUUCUGUGGAAUCUUAAGUUGUCUCUUUGUAUGUAGCAUUUCACUUUAUGCUCUCAACCGGGUCAAGUGACUGGUUGAGCUCCAAGGAUGCUUUUCCGGCUUGUGAAGUUGUUCAAGGACCAUUUCUAGACUACAGCGAUUUCAUUGUUGUGCAUGUUUUGAUAAUCCAUUGAAUCUUAAAACAAUGCCUUGGCUCUAACUAGCCUAAACUAAAAAGGAAGAAAAAAAGUUACUGAAUUUUGCUCUUGUGCCUUUGAGAAUGCUAGUUAUAUUGUAUCAUCAGUGAAAGUUUUUUAUUUUUCUAUUUUUGCUGGUCGAAGCACUCUGUUCAGAGGCUACUUUCUAGGGUAAAAGUUUAAUAGACUCAAUAUAGCAUACCACACUGUAAAUAUGAAAAGUUUCCGAUUACCCACAGAAAGAAAGGACGAUUGUCGAUGCCACAUUGUAUUUAUGAAAAGUUUCUCCUUUAAUCUUUGAGAAGUAAAAAUGAAAUGUUUGCUUGUUAAACUAAAUUGACUGUUUUAAUUGGCAUCAACAUGCAUUUAAAGACUUUCAUAGUAUUUACUUUGCGUACUAGACCAACAAAAAGUAAUGCGAGAGCGAAGAGUUGGGCUUCUAGUUUGACCUUUGUGUCAUCAGUACUUCCAUCACCCUUGGCCCCGAAAUCAAGCACAUUAAAGGUGGCAGAGCGGCCACCCUUGUAACCUUUCUGUGGCGGCAAAGGUGGCGUGGCUUCUACUGGUUCAGGACUCGGAGGCAACGAUGGGGUCUUGUGAGAUGGAGCUGUUGGAGAUUUUGAUCCUCCAUGGUGGUUGUGAUGGCUACUGCCAUGUCUUUUUGUCUUCUUCUUUAGCAGAGAUGCUGAGGUUUCUCUGCUGUGCCUCCAAUGCUUCCCUCUUCUGGCAUUGCACAUUUCAAGACUUGAAGACCAAACAAGAAAUGCUAUGACAAGCAUAAAUGUGAUGCUUCUGAACCUCAAUCCCUCCAUGUUUUAGUGUUGUGUGUGUGUGUGGAGGGGGGAGAGAGAGAGAGAGAGAGAGAGAGAGAGAGAGAGAGAGGGUUUAGAUGUCCAAUAUAAGUGGUGGAGGGUAUAUAUAUAGGGAGCGAAGUGAAGAGUUGAUGAUACUAUGCAGAUAUAAGCAAAGAAUUCUUCCGAUAAUUCUUGGUAUUAAUGUCUCAUUCGUUCCUUAAAAUCUCUUGCUUGCUCUUUAUGUUAAUUGUGUAUUGUUCCUUUGUGUGAAAUAUUGGUUGGGAGUGCUUGUCCUUACUAGAUGGGGCCUUCUGUUGACACAUGUCACAAUGUUUUUGCAUGUGACUCCUCCCUUUCGCAAGCAUAUCUUUUGAUGGGGAUCUAUCUACUAGCAAACCAGACUGUAAUCGAUCAUGGCAUGCAUUGCCGGCUAGCCAAUUAUAACUACUAUGAGUACCACAGUCCGUUCUUUCUCAUGCGAAUCAUUCAAUAUGUGAUUGUGCAUGCAUACAUUGCCAGUGAAUUCAUUGAUGAUGCCUACUAAUUCAGCGGAUAGAAUAUUUCAUUCUCUAAGGACCGAGACAUAUUUAUCAAGAUCCGAUGUUGUUUAUUUCAUAGACACGAUCAUUUUGUAAGCUUGUCAUGGUAUUCUGCCUACACUAUAUUAAGAGAUGCAUCAUCACGCAUAUCGUCUACGCAGUUUUCAUUCAAUAGCUUGGUUUAACAUGUCGUUC